UAAUGGCAACCAACCCCUUGUAUCAGUACAAGUUGAAGGAUGUAAGGACAGAGAACAGCCCUGCCACAAUGGGCAUAGGGAUACUAGUAAAUAGCAAGUGGACACGAACUAGCAGUGUGUACCCUCACAGCCCAGAAAGCCACUCCUGUCCUGGACUGCACCAAAAGAAUGGUGGUCAGCAGGUCAAGGUAGAUGAUCCUGCCCCUCUGCUCUGCAUUGGUGAGACCACAUCUGGAGUACUGCAUCCUGAAUGCAACCCUAGCAUACUGCUGACUGUCCCUGUUUUGUAUGAUCAGAAAAGUGUUACUAUUGCCAUGAAGUGACAUAUUACCUUUCAUUAACCCUUACAUUUCCUAGAUGAUUGUGUUUUUUCUCCUUUUGUGACAUCCAUUUGUCACACUCUCAGUUGGAGGACUGACAGGAUUGAGAUCUUACUUCUUCAGAAGUGAUCUUACUUCUGUACAAGUUUAAAGCAACUAUUUCUUCUUCCUGGUGAUUAUAGUGAUAGUGAAUUUUUCAACUGAAAUGUAAAACUCGGGGUGUUAUAGAAUAAAUAGAGUAGCUAUGCUAAGCCAGUUUAAGUGACAACACUUUUUGGGAAGAGAGGAUAAAGUUAAGGAAUGAAGCAAGUCAUUAAUCUGAGCAAAAUGGAAAAAAAAAAAAAUCAGGGAGGCAGAAAAA
Molecule: long non-coding RNA, 681 nt
Organism: Tympanuchus pallidicinctus (lesser prairie-chicken)
Lineage: Eukaryota; Metazoa; Chordata; Aves; Galliformes; Phasianidae
Exons: 2
Source: RefSeq, a predicted model, not a curated record